Molecule: long non-coding RNA, 1227 nt
Organism: Octopus sinensis (East Asian common octopus)
Lineage: Eukaryota; Metazoa; Mollusca; Cephalopoda; Octopoda; Octopodidae
Exons: 2
Source: RefSeq, a predicted model, not a curated record
UUCUAUUCUCUCUAUCUAUCAUUCUCGCUUUCUCCUUCGCUGUCUUUCUCCCGAUGCGUUUCAUGGCGUCUGUUUCAUAUUUCGUCCGUUAUUCUAGAAAGACAGUUGGGCGAGCUGUCUUUUGAUGUUGUCGAGGCGAAUUUGCGUCUCGGUUUCAAUCCUUGGUAGACAUAAUGUGACACCACCAGAACUCAAAACGCUAGAACUCAAAACAUUUUAUUCCUUUCUAUUAUUUUCUUCUUUUGUUCUGUUUUUAUUUAUUGGUCCACGCCUGAAAGUGGAUUUUGGCACCACAGACCAACAGGAUUACUCGUGAACAUUACUGUGCAUCUGCUAUUUGCUUCCGUCCAUUACACAACAGUAACUACAAAGAACUUCGGACCAACUAAACGGACCAACGCUUCUUCUGAACAUAUGGGAACAUAACGUAGACAAGGCAGUGAAGGGCAGUUCAGAGUAGUGCAGAGUAGUGCAGGGCAAGCAAAGCACAUAGCAGAGCUGGCGGAGUCGAACUACCGACUUGUUGAUGGAUUGUUCUAUAUACUAUGGACUCGGUCCACCUAAUUUUUACUUUACCUUAAUAGAGUACCUUUCCAGAUAUUCAGUAUUCAAGGAAAACUGUAAAUGUGUUAUGAACGAAUUAAUGCCAGAUCCAUUUGCGUGGCAAACCUUUUAAAUGUUCCUUAAAUAAUUUACUAAAACACAGCUGCAUCAACUACAUUUUUACCUGUUAACAAAGAGAACGGCGAACGUAUACCUAACAAACAGUACCCAAUCCAAUUUUCUUUUGCUUUUAUUUUAUUUUAUUUCGCUGUCAGGUAUUGAUAUUGAGACUGUUUGUCAGCUCCCUGCUCAUCCCCGAUUAGUGCUAUACCUUUUGCGGGUUUUUUUUUUUUUUUUGAAGUAUCACCUUGCUCUAGCUUAGAUUUUGUCAGCUAAUAUUUUGUUUAUACAUUAUCACUUUACAAAUCCGAUCGAUAUUUGCUUUUCGUCAUAGAACCUACAGCAAAAGUAGAAGUAAAAUUAACAAGAAUAACAACAACGACAGCAGCGAUAACAAGAUCAACAACUAUAACAAUUAUCAAAAUGAUGAUGUAGCAAUCAAUACUCAACUGAAGAGUGAAGCAGACUACGUUCAUACAAACGAGCAGAUAUUAUAAAAUUAAGUGUUACUAUAUCUCUAGAGAGAAAGAGAGAGAGAGAAACCUCGAGCCAAAUCACGCAAAA